Microcebus murinus (gray mouse lemur) is the source of this 2320-nucleotide non-coding RNA. NCBI's taxonomy places the organism in Eukaryota, Metazoa, Chordata, Mammalia, Primates, Cheirogaleidae. The record is from RefSeq and is a predicted model, not a curated record.
CAAAACAUUGUAAUUAAGGCUGACAAAGGACAAAUGGGGAGAACAUUUGCCACACUGUGGGAAACAAAGGGUUAAUGAACAAAUGCAAUUCGAAGGUGUUUGUUGAGGCGUCUCUACCGUCACCAUGGAAACUGUGACGGGGCGAGGCUUCGGAGGGGCAGAGUCCGAGGCCCGGGUAGUGAGCUAGAGCUCGAGGUCCCAAAGACGACCAGUACUUAAAGCAGCCACCUUGGUGGCUUCUGCGACCCCAGCUGCUGUCUGCGCUCUGGUGCUGGGGAACACCAGGUUCCACCGCCUGUCCGCUUCCAGAUGGCGGUGUGAUUCUGGAACAGGUCAUCGUCCCUAAGCUCCAAUAAACUGGGACAUCUGACUUGACCGUGGGUGGACAGUCGAAGCGCAUUAAAGCAGGCUCUACGGAGGUGGCCACUCUGACCCACAGCUCCUUUUCUGAGUCUCAGGCCUUCCACAUCUACUUUCUCUCUACACUUGGGGAAGCUAAAGAAAAAGCGGAGAAACACCAAGCGGAGCCACAUUGGGUUUGGAAGUAUAUACCCAAAUUCCAUCGCUCACGGAUUAGUGACCCCAGGAGGGGCAUUACCACGUUACCUACCGAAUGAAAGGGGCUCGCUACCAAAUGCUCUAGAAGCCAAUGCUAUGGCACCGCGUUUGAGAAAAGAAAAGCUUUAUUGCAAAUCCACCUACAAGAAGACAGGAGUCCGGCUCAAAUCUGUCUCUCUGUGUCGGCUUUAAGAUAGUAUUUGUAUUAGAAAAUGUUUGGGGGUGGGUUCUAGGAUUAGGAAAGGGUAGGGCUGGGAAGUCCUGGGCAUGCGCAGUUCUCUCUUCAUGCUUGCUCCUGGAUCCUACUUGCAAACUGUGGGGGAGUUAGGAAACAAGCGGUGGAAGAUAAAGCUGUGCCAUCAAAGUUUGUUCUGAGCAGUGGCCAGGUGGCCGUAUUGACUCCAAUCGAUUUCUGCCAGGUUUUUUGUUUUUCUUUUUUUAAAUCUCACAAGCUGAGGGAGUAGCUUCAGCAUUCCAGAAAAUUGUUUGUUUUCUUAUCUGCUAUCCUGCAAGCUCAAGAAUUUGUCAGUCACUGGUUUCUUUAACACUUUGGGGCACGUUUCAACCAGAAUGAACAGCACAAGAGCUCAAUGACACACAUAUUAUGGGAAAUCUCAGAAGGGUAGGAAAUUCUGGCUGGGGAGGUUAAUAGACGUGAGGGUGUGAAAGUUCCAUCGGCAGUAGUAGAAUAUGUGCAGAACACCAGAGUAACAAGAGAAAGCCUCAGAAGGGACAGAUGACAGAUAUUUCCUGUAGCAAAUCUUUUACAGUGUUGAAAAAGAUGCAGACCUUUUCUAAACCCAAAUGGUCAUGGAGGCAUCAGGUGACCAGGAGCUGGAUAAACACUGAAGAAACAGACAUGACACAUUCUUACUGCAUGUAGCACAAGCCAGAGAGGAAAAUGUAGGUCGAAUCUCAGAACAAAACUUAGAGCCUUAACAAACAUCAUCAUCCACAAAAGAAGGAGAAAAAGAAAGGCAUGCUUGGUCUGCACUCACAGCUUCAGUUAGUGUACUUUCUUCUACACCAAAGUGGGUAGAUGUUACUAAUGAUUUCUUCAUGUGGGAGUUGCCAGGACUAAAUCUGUCUCCACCUGCAGUAUUCACAUUUACUCAAACCAUGCAUAUUCCAGGAGCAGUGCAUCCUUCAUAGGGUCAUAUCCAUUCUUUUAGUACCCUGUGGCUCCCCUCUGAGCUGUGAAAGGCCUCCUUCCAUCUGUCCAGGUAUCUGGAGGGAAGUGAAUGCUGAGGGCAGGAGGAUUUCCAUUUCCUAAAGGAUCUGGGGAUAAUAUAUCUCCUGCAAUGAAGCUGUUUCAAAAGAAUUCACCUAAUAUGAACACAAAUUAUUUCAAAAGAAAGCAGCACAAGACCUAACAAAGAAAGUACAGUUUAAAACAAAAAGGAAAAGGAAAAGCAAAAGUUUGCCUAAGAAGCUUCCUUGAACACCCAGUACAUCAGCAGGAAUGAAAUCUAUGAUUAAAAAACCGGCAGCAAAAAACAAACAAAAAACAUAAAAAGAAAUAAAAAAUAAAUACAUAAAAGAGAAUAAAUAAAAAAUACAAAACCCGCAGGACUUACUGAACUUAAGGAAGCCAUCAUUUCUACAAUGUAAGACAAAUGUAUAUAUCCCAGGGCUCAGGCCAAAGGGGGCAAGACUGCAGAAGAAGCUGGAAUACAGGCAGCAGUACACGGCAUUGGGGUGGGAGGGAAUAAAUAAAAAUCAAGUAGUGUUAAGUCUGUAAAAUAAGUUUAAAGAGAUUUAG